Non-coding RNA from Pelobates cultripes (western spadefoot toad), 399 nucleotides. The record is from the annotation of a GenBank genome assembly. NCBI's taxonomy places the organism in Eukaryota, Metazoa, Chordata, Amphibia, Anura, Pelobatidae.
GAGAUAAAUCAAUAAAGGCCUUUCCUUGUAAACUGAUAAUCAGACAAAUAAAAGCAAUUUUAGCUAAAUCGAAAUUGGGAGACAGACAAGCAAUGCAGUGUAACACAGAAAGUUAUAAGAAUCAGGUAACUUCAAGAGAUAUGAUCAGUUUAGGGAAUGAGCAUGGAUAUGUGUUCCAACAGAUGUACACAGGCUGAUUCCAGAAUUAAGAACAGCCAAGAAUAGAGAUCUAUGUUAGUUUGUUUUAAUGAAUUGUUAGUCUGAACUGUUUUUUCAUUGUUUUUAUGUGUGUUAUAAGAAAGUAUUAGGUUAAUUAAUUGAAAUAAAAAUUUACAUCAAGUUUGCAAAUAUGACAGAAUGAAAUACACUAAUGUAGCAGUUAGGAACAUGCAAUGUUAU